GUCUAUGGCCAUGCUAUCCUGAACAAGCCCUAUCCCGUCUCAUCUCAGAAGCUAAGUAGGGUUGGGCCUGGUUAGUACUUGGAUGGGAGACCACCUAGGCAGACCAGGUGCUGUAGGCG
Molecule: ribosomal RNA, 119 nt
Filed under: Pteropus alecto (black flying fox)
Lineage: Eukaryota; Metazoa; Chordata; Mammalia; Chiroptera; Pteropodidae
Source: RNAcentral